RNAcentral lists this ribosomal RNA (776 nucleotides) under uncultured Neocallimastigales. Its description in RNAcentral is "partial large subunit ribosomal RNA". It matches the Rfam family "Eukaryotic large subunit ribosomal RNA", at positions 24 to 646 of the family's 3401-position model. The record is from RNAcentral. Lineage: Eukaryota; Fungi; Neocallimastigomycota; Neocallimastigomycetes; Neocallimastigales.
GUAGUCUCGCACAGAUGCAUAUCAAUAAGCGGAGGAAAAGAAACUAACAAGGAUUCCCCUAGUAACGGCGAGUGAAGCGGGAAGAGCUCAAAUUUGAAAUCUUAAAGGGUUUCCCUUUACGAAUUGUAGUUUAAAGAAGUGUUUUCUGUUGAGGUUUUGGUAAAAGUUCUUUGGAAUAGGACAUCAUAGAGGGUGAGAAUCCCGUAUUUGACCAUUAUUUUCAACUGUGUGAUACACUUUCAAAGAGUCGGAUUGUUUGGGAAUGCAGUCCAAAAUGGGUGGUAAAUUUCAGUCUAAAGCUAAAUAUUGGCGAGAGGACCGAUAGCGAACAAGUACCGUGAGGGAAAGAUGAAAAGAACUUUGAAAAGAGAGUUAAACAGUACGUGAAAUUGUCAAAAGGGGAGCGUUUGACACCAGUGUUGUUUUUCUGAAAAUCAAUUAAAGAACUGUUUAUGCUAAGUUGUUUAGACUUUAUCAGCUAACUGUUUAGUUUUGAGCUUUUCUUUAAUGCACUUUUCAGUUAACAAGUCAACAUCAAUUUCUUUUGCUGUAAAAAAGCUUGAGGAAGGUGGCUUGAGAUUCGUCUUAAGUGUUUAUAGCCUCUUGCCUAUGCAGUCGGAGAGAUUGAGGUCUGCAGCGUAGAUCCUUCGGGGCUAAAUGCAUUUGUGCUAAGUUAUAGCAUUUUAUAGACAACUUGUUGACUAUGAUUUGUCUUGUAGCUUACUCGCUUAUGUUAUUUUACCUACGCUUAGGAUGUUGAUGUGAUACUGCGAGCA